RNAcentral lists this non-coding RNA (83 nucleotides) under unclassified sequences. The record is from RNAcentral.
AAUCGUCUGCCGCCGGGUGGACUUAAGGCAUUGUUUCGCAUCGUUAGGCCAUAGUAGAUGCGAAAACGGUGCUUUUAUUUUUU